GUCUAGCACCCAAAAAUUGUGCACACCCACACUACACGGGCAUGUGCUAGUCAAUGACAAAUCAGAAAUAACUAACUGCCCACCUGGGCUGUCCUAAGCCAAGCUAGAGCCAACCAUUGGAUUUUGUGAGACACAGGAAGUGAGGUAGGGAACAGCCUCUGGAAUUGGCUCACUUCCUGUGGGGAGAGGGAGACGCCAGUUGGUGUUAGGAAGAGUUGGUGUUAGGAGCUUGGAGAGGGAGGACGCCCGCAGACAGCUUUCCUUCAGAUUGGUCACGUGAGUUAAGGACUGACUCUUUCCACCUGGGCCUUUGGGCCUAAAACUCCCUCUGCCUUGGUCAGAGGUUGAGUAGCCCCUUUCCCUUUUUCUCUUCUCUCCUUCUCUCCCUAUCCUUUUCCCUACUCCCAGUGUGAUUAAACCUCCAUAAACUUCAUUCUGACUUGAGUGUUUCAUUUUUAGGAAUUUCAUAAGUAAAUUCCUUGGCGGCCAUUGUUUAAUAUUACAUAAAUCCUGUAGCCACAUUCUUAACCAUUACAAUAUUAUAAUCUCUCCCAAAAGCCUAAAUUUCCACCAUUACAGUAUUGGCGAACCACUACGGGGGAAAAAGAACCUUAUCAGUCUUCUGAUCUCCUUACUAUCACCUGGGAGAAAUCCCACCCCGGCUACCCCCUCUGGCUCUUGGCCCUGCCUUAGUGCUUGGAAGGUUUCUAGAACCUCAAUAAAUUUCCUGAAUUUUCUUGCCUUUUCAACCCACUUAUUGCUCCGUCAGUCCUGUUACAAAAUACCUUGGCUUAAAGACACAGCUGCCAGAACAGGAAUUACAGCACAAACUGCGUGAGCUACAUGAAUCCGGAGCUGCAAUACAAGCUGGACCACUAGACUUCUCACUUCACAACCUGAACCCAGGAGACAACGUGUAUAUAAAGAAUUUCAAGCGUACUGGAGCAACUGAGCCUUCCUGGGAAGGACCAUUCCAAAUAUUGUUAACUACUCCAACAUCUAUAAAGGUUGGAGAAAAGGACUCUUGGAUUCACUGUUCUCAUGUAAAGAGAGCAUCUUCUGUUGAGACGGAUUGACUGUAUCCUAUACAUGCAUUGGAGAUAACUAUACAUUGACAAGUGGAACUGUUUUAUUCUGCUUUUGACACAUUGAAUUUCUAAAUUUAAUUUUUUUCCCUUUUUUCCUUUUUUUCUCUUUUCCUUAUUUUA
RNAcentral lists this long non-coding RNA (1208 nucleotides) under Monodelphis domestica (gray short-tailed opossum). RNAcentral's name for it is "lncRNA (ENSMODG00000040766.1)". Lineage: Eukaryota; Metazoa; Chordata; Mammalia; Didelphimorphia; Didelphidae. The record is from RNAcentral.